RNAcentral lists this unclassified non-coding RNA (306 nucleotides) under plant metagenome. RNAcentral describes it as "partial contains 5.8S ribosomal RNA, internal transcribed spacer 2, and large subunit ribosomal RNA". The stretch from base 1 to 105 matches the Rfam family "5.8S ribosomal RNA", at positions 50 to 154 of the family's 154-position model. The record is from RNAcentral.
GAAAUGCGAUAAGUAAUGUGAAUUGCAGAAUUCAGUGAAUCAUCGAAUCUUUGAACACAUAUUGCGCCCGCCAGUAUUCUGGCGGGCAUGCCUGUCCGAGCGUCAUUUCAACCAUCAAGCCCCCGGGCUUGUGUUGGGGACCUGCGGCUGCCCGCAGGCCCUGAAAACCAGUGGCGGGCUCGCUGUCACACCGAGCGUAGUAGCAAUCACCUCGCUCAGGGCGUGCUGCGGGUUCCGGCCGUUAAACAGCCUUACAAAACCCAAGGUUGACCUCGGAUCAGGUAGGAAGACCCGCUGAACUUAAGC